GCCUACCACCGGUUUUGGCUCUGCGCGCAGCUGACAGAAGUUUGUCUCAGGCGCCGCCAGAGCUUGUGCAGGGGUGGCCGGGUCAGCGUCUCUGCUGCCAGGAGCUGAGUCUCCUUUAGACUCGCCGGGGCUUGGGCUUCAGGACAACACGGGGCUGUGUCCAUGCUGACAGGAGCUGCGUUUCCUGACGACCCAGGAGACGCCAGGAGGAAAAGAUCAUCCACAACACCAAAGACAGAGUGGCUCCUAAUCUAAUCUUCCCACAGUGCCUGUAAAUUCCAUGUGGACUUUGGGUGAACUGGAUCUGGUGGUUCUGCAGGCUCGCCAGUUGUGAGCGUGGGCUCCAGGGAACUGAGAGGUUGAGGUCUGCACUUCCCAGCUGGCCAGCAGGCGGCACCAAGCCCACCUCUCUGAUACUUGAGGUGCAUGUGUGUUCCACUGGUGGACUUGGCUCAUGAAGGAACUUGGCUACUUGUGCCACUGAUAGAAGCUCGGUCUCUUCAGGAUCCACCAUGGUUUCAGCUUUGGGACAACACUUGGCUGAGUCCAUGCAGACAGAUCUGAACCCAGUGUCUUCAGGAACCACCAGGAGGCACCACCUUGGGAGUAAAAGUCACAGGGUCUGGAGACAGAAGAAGGAAGCUAUAGGAAGAGAUAAACACCAGAUAGAACCAGCUGGAACAAAGGUGGCAACGAAUCUGACCUCCAACAGACCCUCAGUCUCAUUCUGCUGAGUUUACUGCAUUGGCUACUAGAUGACACACCUACUGGUGGCCCUAACUGGAAGAUAUGGACCAAGAAAGGAUAAAAAGGGUGUGGCUCCCCUUUCCAGGGAAGUGCUGCCCCUUCCCUAGACUAAUGCAUGUGCUCCCCAUCAUUAGCCUCACUCCUCCUGCCUUUGUCUUUACUCUUUAAAAUCAAAUCCCUCUCACCACAUGGGCAAGGUGAUCUGUGAACUAAGUUCCCACUUCUCCAUUCCUUGGCCACAGAAUAAAACUUGAGCUGCGUCAAUCUCA
Long non-coding RNA from Globicephala melas (long-finned pilot whale), 1016 nucleotides. RefSeq lists it as uncharacterized. The record is from RefSeq and is a predicted model, not a curated record. NCBI's taxonomy places the organism in Eukaryota, Metazoa, Chordata, Mammalia, Artiodactyla, Delphinidae.